RNAcentral lists this ribosomal RNA (440 nucleotides) under uncultured bacterium. Its description in RNAcentral is "partial 16S ribosomal RNA". It matches the Rfam family "Bacterial small subunit ribosomal RNA", at positions 338 to 795 of the family's 1533-position model. The record is from RNAcentral.
CCUACGGGAGGCAGCAGUGGGGAAUAUUGCACAAUGGGGGAAACCCUGAUGCAGCGACGCCGCGUGAGUGAAGAAGUAAUUCGUUAUGUAAAGCUCUAUCAGCAGGGAAGAAAAUGACGGUACCUGAGUAAGAAGCCCCGGAUAACUACGUGCCAGCAGCCGCGGUAAUACGUAGGGGGCAAGCGUGAUCCGGAUUUACUGGGUGUAAAGGGAGCGUAGACGGCAGUGCAAGUCUGGAGUGAAAGGCGAGGGCUCAACCCCCGGACUGCUCUGGAAACUGUACGGCUGGAGUGCAGGAGAGGUAAGUGGAAUUCCUAGUGUAGCGGUGAAAUGCGUAGAUAUUAGGAGGAACACCAGUGGCGAAGGCGGUUUACUGGACUGUAACUGACGUUGAGGCUCGAAAGCGUGGGGAGCAAACAGGAUUAGAUACCCUUGUAGUC